RNAcentral lists this ribosomal RNA (253 nucleotides) under uncultured bacterium. RNAcentral describes it as "partial 16S ribosomal RNA". It matches the Rfam family "Bacterial small subunit ribosomal RNA", at positions 524 to 776 of the family's 1533-position model. The record is from RNAcentral.
UACGGAGGGUGCAAGCGUUAAUCGGAAUUACUGGGCGUAAAGCGCGCGUAGGCGGCUGGGUAAGUCGAUUGUGAAAGCCUUGGGCUCAACCUGAGAAUUGCAGUCGAGACUGUUCGGCUAGAGUGUGGGAGAGGGUGGUGGAAUUCCCGGUGUAGCGGUGAAAUGCGUAGAUAUCGGGAGGAACAUCAAAGGAGAAGGCGACCACCGGGAUCUACACUGACGCUGAGGUGCGAAAGCGUGGGUAGCAAGCAGG